ACUACAACGAGACGGCUGUGCUCACGCAGAUCUUGUCUCUUUAGGGCGCAGGCGCCAUGCUCCUACUGUCAGUCCGUCACCUUGACCAUGUAGUUAACCCUCACGCCAUUUGUCAAGAAAUGUUGGUAGGUUGAUUAUAUCUUGCUGCAUUUUUAACCUGGAUAUUUGCUGAAUGAGAUGGUGAUCUUGUCAAUGACAGUGUGAGCAUGAUGGCGGUGCCAGGGAGCAGCCUGUUCAUGAAACAAGCAACCUCAGGUGAUGUGUGUCAAAGAAUUGAGGUCCGGGCAGACGUGGGCAACGGGAUGGUUCACUUCACCUGAUAAACGGAGUGAGCCAGCGCAGGCAGUGCGUUGUCUGACAUACUGCAUGCGUGAAGGAAAGCAGUGAAUUGCUCUAUAUUUGGAAGACACUGCUGGAGUUGACAAGGCAAAGCGAAAGUGAAGGAGUCUGCCCACUCAGCGGAAGAUGAGUAAGGGCUGAAAUCCCUACUGUCCUUUACUUAGCCUCGGGAGGGACAUCACCUGAUAAGAUACAUGGCGAGUGAAAG
Molecule: long non-coding RNA, 547 nt
Organism: Portunus trituberculatus (swimming crab)
Lineage: Eukaryota; Metazoa; Arthropoda; Malacostraca; Decapoda; Portunidae
Exons: 3
Source: RefSeq, a predicted model, not a curated record